UCUGCCUCUCUUAGCGGCGUCUUCCGCCAGGUCGUUGGCACGUCGCUCCGGAGCUGGGGCCACGCCUUCCCAGCGGGCAGUUUCCCAACCGCCGUUGCUAAGCGGCCGUUACCUGGCCGCGCGGUGCUGGGCGGCGGCGGUUGCAGACGGUGGUCACCGGGCCUCAGGAGGUGACCAUGGAAAAAGAGCUUCGGAGCACCAUUCUUUUCAACGCAUACAAAAAGGAAGUCUUCACCACCAGCAACGGCUAUAAAUCUAUGCAGAAAAGACUUCGCAGUCAUUGGAAAAUUCAGAGUUUAAAAGAUGAAAUCACACCUGAGAAGCUCAUUGGGGUGAAACUAUGGAUUACAGCUGGGCCGAGGGAAAAAUUUACUGCAGCUGAGUUUGAAAUCCUAAAGAAAUACCUUGAUGGUGGUGGAGACAUCCUUGUGAUGCUAGGAGAGGGUGGGGAAUCCAGAUUUGAUACCAACAUUAACUUUCUCCUAGAAGAAUAUGGAAUCAUGGUUAAUAAUGAUGCUGUGGUUAGAAAUGUGUAUUAUAAGUAUUUCCAUCCUAAAGAAGCUCUAGUUUCCAAUGGAGUCUUGAAUAGGGAGAUUAGCAGAGCUGCGGGGAAGGCCGUGCCUGGGAUUCUUGAUGAGGAGAGCAGUGGAAACAACGCCCAGGCUCUCACCUUUGUCUAUCCUUUUGGUGCCACGUUGAGUGUCACGAAACCCGCCGUGGCUGUUCUGUCCACAGGCUCUGUCUGUUUCCCGCUUAACAGACCCAUCCUGGCUUUCUAUCACUCGAAGAACCAAGGUGGGAAACUGGCAGUGCUCGGCUCAUGUCACAUGUUCAGUGACCAGUAUUUGGAUAAAGAAGAAAACAGCAAAAUCAUGGAUGUUGUUUUCCGGUGGCUCACAACAGAAGACAUCCACCUAAACCAGAUUGAUGCCGAGGACCCAGAGAUUUCCGACUACAUGAUGCUGCCUGACACAGCCGCCCUGUCCGAGCGGCUGCGAGUGUGUCUCCAGGAGGGCGAUGAGAACCCGCGGGACUUCACCAGCCUCUUCGACCUGUCCCUUUACCAGCUGGAUACUACCUCCCUCCCGAAGGUCAUCAAGGCUUAUGAACAGCUCAACGUGAAACAUGAACCUCUCCAGCUCAUCCAGCCUCAGUUUGAGACGCCACUGCCAGCUCUUCAGCCAGCAGUGAGUAGGUUUUCCCUCCUAGUUUCAGGGAAUUACCACCUCCUCCGCUGGAGCUGUUUGACUUAGAUGAGACGUUCUCCUCUGAGAAGGCCCGGCUUGCUCAGAUUACCAAUAAGUGUACUGAAGAAGACCUGGAAUUCUAUGUCAGGAAGUGUGGCGACAUCCUUGGAGUCACCAAUAAACUCCCAAAGGACCGGCAAGAUGCCAAACAUAUCCUUGAGCACAUCUUCUUCCAAGUGGUGGAGUUCAAGAAGUUGAACCAGGAACAUGACAUUGACACACGGCAUUCCAGAACAGCCUCUGCGGACCAAGCCUCUUGAAGCAUUUUCUGCCUCCCGAUUCUUCGUAAACUUUUUGAAUUAUCCCUCAGUUUUUUAUGAAAACUGUCUAUACAGUCUUUCCUCUCUGACCUGUGGGAAGGUCUGUGCAUCUUCUGUAGUGCUCAGAGAGGGACAACAUUUCUUAUGUAAGUUAUGUUCCAUUUUUUAAAUUAAAUGUUUGAAUCUGUACUUUGAUAAUUGA
Capra hircus (goat) is the source of this 1709-nucleotide RNA transcript. It is a transcript of the gene named intraflagellar transport 52, with no coding region annotated. Lineage: Eukaryota; Metazoa; Chordata; Mammalia; Artiodactyla; Bovidae. The transcript is spliced from 14 exons. The record is from RefSeq and is a predicted model, not a curated record.